Molecule: ribosomal RNA, 3041 nt
Filed under: candidate division WWE3 bacterium CG08_land_8_20_14_0_20_41_10
Lineage: Bacteria; candidate division WWE3
Description: bacterial LSU rRNA
Rfam family: Bacterial large subunit ribosomal RNA
Source: RNAcentral
AAAAAGAAAUUAAUGUACACGGAGGAUGCCUAGGGUUUUUGCGGCGAUGAAGGACGUGCCAGACUGCGUUAAGCUUCGGGAAGCUGUCAAGAAGCGUUAUACCCGGAGAUGUCCUAAUGGGGAAACCCUACCUACAGCAAUGUAAGGUAACCAUUUGCUAAAGUUUCUUGUCGUAAGACAGGGAAAGAAGGCAUUUAGGAGCACACCCAGUGAACUGAACCAACUUAGUAACUGGAGGAAAAUAAACAAAUAUGCAUUUCGUUAGUAGCGGCGAGCGAAAGCGAAGAAGCCCAAACCUAAGAUUAAAUCAAUCUAUAGGGGUGCGGACAGCCCAUAGUCACUUUAAGUGGCAAGAAGUCACAAAGCACUUUCAUAGGAGAACAUUUCUGGAAAGUUAGGUCAUAGCGAGUAAUAGCCUCGUAUCCAAAAUGAAAAUGCCUUCUUGGGUUGAUCCAGAGUAACAUGGGACACGAGAAAUCCUGUGUGAAGCAGGCUUGACCAUAAGCCAAGGCUAAAUACGCAAAAACACCGAUAGUGAACUAGUACCGUGAGGGAAAGGUGAAAAGAACCCCUGUUAGGGGAGUGAAAUAGAAACUGAAACCGUGUACAGACAAGCUGACAAAGGGGGUCCGCCGCAAGGCGGAUGUCCUAAUGUCGUGCCUAUUGAAGAAUGAGCCAACGAGUUAAUUCUGCGCGCAUGCUUAAGUUGCUUAUAAACAACGCAAGCUUAGGGAAACCGAGUCUUAAAAGGGCGUUCGUGCGUAGAAUUAGACCCGAAGCCAGGUGAGCCAAUCAUGAGCAGGUUGAAGUCGACCGAAAGGUAGAUGGAGGACCGAACCGGUGUAUGUUGAAAAAUGCUCGGAUGACUUGUGAUUAGUGGUGAAACGUCAAACGAACCUGGUGAUAGCUGGCUCUCCCCGAAAUAUAUUUAGGUAUAGCUCCGCGCUUUGUGCGUCGCUAUGCCCGCCUAACGGCGGGCUAAUGCCUCGCGUGACGAUCUAACGGGAGGUAAAGAUACUGGAAAGAAUUGGGGCUCGCAAGGGUACCCAUUCUUACCAAACUCAGAAUGCUCGUUAGUGGUGCGGGAGUCAGCAAUGGGGGGCAAUCUCCUGUUGCAAGAGGGAAACAGCCCAGACCAUCGAAUAAGGUCCCUAAUUUCUGCUAAGUGGGCAAGGUAGUGAAACCGUUUAAACAGCUAGGAGGUUGGCUUAGAAGCAGCCAUCCUUUAAAGAAAGCGUAACAGCUCACUAGUUUAACGGUUUUGCGCCGACAAUUUAACGGGGCUAAGCAGAAAACCGACUUCGUGGGUGUGUGGAGGGUUUAAGGUUGUGAGAGAUUGGCAAGAUGUGGGUUAAGGAGCGACUUUGCGCAGUAGCGCAGCGUCGCAACGAACCCACUCGAGCAAUCUCAUAGCUUUUAAUCCUUCACACACGGUAGGGGAGCUUUGAUGUCUCCGCCGAUAGGCGGAUUUAAGCAGUGAAGGUGUGCUGUAAGGCAUGCUGGAGCGUCAUCAAGUGAGUAUGUUGGCUUGAGUAACGAGAGCCGCCUGAAAACGGCGGCCGCCGUAAGUCUAAGGUUUCCUCCGCUAUGUCAGUCAACGGAGGGUUAGUCGGUCCUAAGGUAAGGUCAAAAGGCGUAGCCGAUGGACAGCAGGUUAAUAUUCCUGCACUGGUGUGGAACCGCUUUACCAAUGGAGUAACGGCGCGCGGUAGGUUAAGCCGGUUAAAGAUUCCGGUCCAAAAAGUUAGCUAGUUCCCGUAGGCAAAUCCGCGGGAACGUUGGAGAGAUCCUGAAUGUGAGCUUAUGGGAAGGCUCGUAAUUGAGUCAACUUAAUUGAGUCGUGCGUCCAAGAAAAACUUCUAGGGAGGUUUUAUACCAUCCGUACCACAAACCGACACAGGUAGACGGGUAGAGAAUACCAAGGCGAUCGAGUGAACUGUGAUUGAGGAACUAGGCAAAUUACAUCCGUAACUUAGGGAAAAGGAUGCCCGUCCGCGCGCAAGCAAAGGCGGGGGCACAAAAAUGGUUCAAGCGGCUGUUUAACAAAAACACAGAUCUCUGCUUAACUCGUAAGAGGAAGUAUAGGGGUCGACGCGUGCCCAGUGCCCGUAAGUUAAAGCCUGAGGUGACGGCUGUCGCAAGACAGCAACAGCUUUGGGUCUAAGCUCGGGUGAACGGCGGUCUUAACUAUAAGGAUCCUAUGGUAGCGUAAUCCCUUGUCGGGUAAGAAGAAAAACGAACCCGUAUCGGCUUAUAACGGGAAAGUCUUUAAGUCAGUGCUUAUAGGGAGCACAUGUGCAGGUAGACUUAAUGACAAUCACGUGGGAAUCCCGCCUUGGCGGGGACCCGUAUCGACUGUUCCACUAAAUUGUGUUACAACAAUGUGGACGAUGCAGUUGGUCCAUUGACUUUAUGGACAGACUUAAACUGCAUAAUACGCCGAUGUCUUAUCAAAUGCCUAAAAUUCACAUUCCAACCUACAUUACCGCCUUUACUGACGGUGAAGGUUGCUUUUGCGUUUCAACAAAUAAAAGCGCAAGACAUAAACUGGGAUGGGAAAUUAGACCAAGUUUCUCCGUGUCGCAAAACAAAGCUAGAGCGCAAGUACUUUAUUUAAUGAAAGACUAUUUUGGGUGCGGUUCAAUCCGGCCUGACAGGUCCGACAAGACAAUUAAGUAUGAGGUAAGAUCUCUAAAUGAUUUGCUGACCAGGAUUAUUCCUCACUUUGAGGAGCAUCCUUUAAUAUCGACCAAGAACGAGUCUUUUAGAUUAUUCAAAGAAAUAUGUUUGAUGAUGAAAAACCGUCAGCAUAAAUUGACUGAAAAUGUCGAAAAGAUCCGUUUCCUAAGUCGCCAAAUAAACGGGGAACAUAAGACAAAGAUAUAGUCAGCGCCAUUAGCAAUAAUGGAUAAAUCCAUUGUGCGCUUUGCGCUAAAUGGACAAAAAGCGAAGUUCCGACCCGCACGAAACGCGUAACGACUUGAGCACUCUCUUAAUCACAGGCUCGGUGAAAUAGAACUACCGGUGAAGAUGCCGGUUAC